This 159-nucleotide ribosomal RNA is filed under the name Hyphomicrobiales bacterium. RNAcentral describes it as "Rhizobiales bacterium (soil metagenome) partial 16S ribosomal RNA". It matches the Rfam family "Bacterial small subunit ribosomal RNA", at positions 1 to 171 of the family's 1533-position model. Lineage: Bacteria; Pseudomonadati; Pseudomonadota; Alphaproteobacteria; Hyphomicrobiales. The record is from RNAcentral.
CAACUUGAGAGUUUGAUCCUGGCUCAGAGCGAACGCUGGCGGCAGGCCUAACACAUGCAAGUCGAGCGCCGUAGCAAUACGGAGCGGCAGACGGGAGAGUAACACGUGGGAACGUGCCCUUCAGUUCGGAACAACCCAGGGAAACUUGGGCUAAUACCG